RNAcentral lists this small RNA (94 nucleotides) under Halpernia humi. RNAcentral's name for it is "Chryseobacterium humi Flavo-1 RNA". It matches the Rfam family "Flavo-1 RNA". Lineage: Bacteria; Pseudomonadati; Bacteroidota; Flavobacteriia; Flavobacteriales; Weeksellaceae. The record is from RNAcentral.
UUCUAGCCCCGAUUGCAGUGGAAAUCCUUUUUUGCUGCGAUCCGCCAAAGGCGGAGACGCGCAAAAAAGAUUGAAACGGAAAGCGGGACCAAUC